Molecule: ribosomal RNA, 367 nt
Filed under: Izeniola obesula
Lineage: Eukaryota; Metazoa; Arthropoda; Insecta; Diptera; Cecidomyiidae
Description: partial large subunit ribosomal RNA
Source: RNAcentral
CCGAAUAUCUGAUGUGAGAAAUUCAAUAUUAUUUAUUGUAAUUCAUAUUUGAAAUUAUAUUAAAUAAUAUGCACUUUUCUCAUAGUAAGACAUUGUAAUCCAUUGAUAUUAUAUCUUUAUUUGUUUAAAGAUGAUUUAACAUACGGACAAAAUGUAUAUGAUUAUUCUAUAAAUGAUAUGUUUUACAUGUCAUAUGAAUAAAAUCGUUUUGUACCUGUUUAAAUAGUCGAUGGAUUUUUGAAAUUAAAAUCAUGCUAGCAAUUUAGUUUGCGUUUCGUAUCAUUAAUUUAUAAUUGAUGAUAGCAGAAAUGGCAUGUAUUUGAUUAACAAUGCGAUAGAUUUGGGAUGCCUUCGGGACCCGUCUUGA